GAUGAACGCUGGCGGCGUGCCUAAUACAUGCAAGUCGAGCGAACAGACGAGGAUCUUGCUCCUCUGACGUUAGCGGCGGACGGGUGAGUAACACGUGGAUAACCUACCUAUAAGACUGGGAUAACUUCGGGAAACCGGAGCUAAUACCGGAUAAUAUAUUGAACCGCAUGGUUCAAUAGUGAAAGACGGUUUUGCUGUCACUUAUAGAUGGAUCCGCGCCGCAUUAGCUAGUUGGUAAGGUAACGGCUUACCAAGGCAACGAUGCGUAGCCGACCUGAGAGAGGGAUCGGCGACACUGGAACUGAGACACGGUCCAGACUCCUACGGGAGGCAGCAGUAGGGAAUCUUCCGCAAUGGGCGAAAGCAUGACGGAGCAACGGCGAGUGAGUGAUGAAGGUCUUCGGAUCGUAAAACUCUGUUAUUAGGGAAGAACAAAUGUGUAAGUAACUAUGCACGUCUUGACGGUACCUAAUCAGAAAGCAACGGCUAACUACGUG
Molecule: ribosomal RNA, 497 nt
Filed under: uncultured bacterium
Lineage: Bacteria
Description: partial 16S ribosomal RNA
Rfam family: Bacterial small subunit ribosomal RNA
Source: RNAcentral